Long non-coding RNA from Spea bombifrons (plains spadefoot toad), 568 nucleotides. RefSeq lists it as uncharacterized. The record is from RefSeq and is a predicted model, not a curated record. NCBI's taxonomy places the organism in Eukaryota, Metazoa, Chordata, Amphibia, Anura, Pelobatidae. The transcript has 4 exons.
GUGUCAGCAGAGGACCUCCACCAGUAGUCGGAUCAAGAUUCCUGAACAUCAUCCAUCUGAUGCAGUGAGGAAGGAGAUGCUUGCCAGCCUAGGACCCGAUAAGCUGCAGAGAUCAGACAGUUGGAUCUCCUGAAUGUUCCUGUGUGCCAACAAUGGAUAACGCUUAAGUAGGAGGAGGUGACAUUUCUUCUUUCCUGGAUGCAUAAAACCCUGUUCCAAAUCAGAGGCAGCUCAGUGCAGCAACAUGAAGACAGCACACUUUAUCUCGCUCCUACUGUCGCUCUCCCUGUGUGUGGAAAGGGGAAAAGCACAGACUACAGCUAACACAACUUGUCCUGAAGUGGAGGAUGGAGCCUUAGGAAAAUGUGGCCCGUCGUGUGUAGAUGACGCAGAAUGCAAGCCUGGCCAAAAGUGUUGCCCGGACACCUGUGGACAACUUUCCUGUAAAAUUAUAGGAAGAUAGCAGAAUGCGAUCACCUGGAGAAUAGGUGCGUGGGAGAGAAAUCUCUAAAUCUGACUUGUUUAUAAAAAUAACUCUAAAUGCCGUUUUAUAAAGCGUAAACCUUCA